Ctenopharyngodon idella (grass carp) is the source of this 803-nucleotide long non-coding RNA. RefSeq lists it as uncharacterized. The record is from RefSeq and is a predicted model, not a curated record. The transcript has 2 exons. Lineage: Eukaryota; Metazoa; Chordata; Actinopteri; Cypriniformes; Xenocyprididae.
UUUAAAUCUAAAGUCUAGUUUAUUUUAAUUAUUGUAAUUUAAACAGAGUUAUUACAGCACUUUUCUGAAUCUUGAUUUCUGUGCAUUUGCUGCAGAGCUUUGUGGUGAAGCAGGACCUACAAGACAAGGUGACUGCAGCAAAAAAGGAAAACCUGAAACAAAAAUAUAAAGAUGUGAAAUGUCCUCAGACUGGUGUGAGCACUGAGGAUGGAGAGCCACAGCAGGUCCUGGAAAUGGUGUAGAGCCAUGGACGAGACGCUCCAUCACUCCUCCUUCCAAGUGACUUGAUCAAGGACACCCUGGAGGUGAUGUUGCAGAGAUUGAACCAGCAACCUUCUGCUGACCAGCUCAGUGGUUUAGCCCACCACACCACAAAAGUAAUGAAGCUAUGACAAAAAUUAUCAAGUAAUUGUAAAAAUAUUAAAUGAAAUAUGGCAAGAAACAGAAUGCUGACAUUAAUGAAUUGUAAAAUGUUUUAAUCUGUUUAUUUAGUCAUGCUGAUGGAGAGCACAUGAAUGUUUGCAGCAGACACAGCAGCAGCAGCCAGAUUGUCCUGCACACCUUCUCCCACUCUUGCUUCAUGGUUGUGGGGUUCAGGGGUCCAUCAUCAUCAUCUUCCUCAUCCUCUGGAUCAACGAUGUCCCCACUGAGAAGAGCAGCAGUGAGGGACAUGAUGGAUGAAGGUGUUCAUCAGCUGCUUCAUCAGAAUAAAGCUGCAGAAUUGGCACAGCUGUGUUGAGAUGGCAGUAGGAUUGUAAAUACGUGAUUGUUAGAUCAAUAAAUUUGAAUAAAGCUUUGUUUCA